AUCCUGCGUGCUGUUGCUUUUGGUCGUCUGUGAGUGACAGACGUCUCUUGACCUCGCGUGUUGCUUAAGCAUGUAUGAUUAGGUGAAAAAUUUAGCCACAUUACACUCGAUUUUUCUUGGAAAAAAAAUCUACCAGAAAUUGAUCAGUUUGUAUAGUAAUUAUUAAUAAUAAAAUUUUCGGGAAAGCAUAUUUUAUAUUGAUCAAACGUAACAACUAGAAAUUCAAUAAAGACAACACACGAGAGGAUGAAUUUCAAAAUAAGCUUGUUAUUCAUACUUGUUACCUUCAGCAUGUUUAGCACGGUAUACCUGUGUCCAGCAAAAGAGGUAGAAAAACCUUUGCGUCCGACACAAAAGCUUAGGCAGCGUAAUGGUAGACCAAAAAUAUGUGAUCAAAUGUAUCACCCUGGUGAGUGCUUCACAAAGUCGAAGAAGCCGCUUAGCGAAAAGGAUUUUGUAUUCAGAUAUUAUUAUAAUUCAAAUUUGACAACAUGUGUAUCUUUUAUGUGGGGAAUGUGCGGUGGAACUCGAAAUAAUUUUCUAACUUGGGUAGAAUGCAUGGACAUUUGCCAUAACAGUACUGCAGUUUUAACAUUUUGAAGUUUUGAAAAAAUAUAAUUUUGUGUGUGUGUAUACACCUUGGUAAUAAAAUUUUUUACAAUUUCUUAUAUAUUGAUAUAUAUUUGUAAUAAUUUAAAUUUAUAUAGAAAUACUAAAUGAAAAACUUUGCGAAGUUUUUACAAAAUAGUUGUAAAAGUAUUUUAUUUUAACAAUAAGUGACUGUAGUGAAAUGAAAUGUACGGGCAUAUACACAAAAUAUGUUGGAAUAUAUACAUGUAAAUAAAAGAAAGUACUUCUUAAUUAA
Molecule: non-coding RNA, 865 nt
Organism: Linepithema humile (Argentine ant)
Lineage: Eukaryota; Metazoa; Arthropoda; Insecta; Hymenoptera; Formicidae
Source: RefSeq, a predicted model, not a curated record